GAAAUGCGAUAAGUAAUGUGAAUUGCAGAAUUCAGUGAAUCAUCGAAUCUUUGAACGCACAUUGCGCCCCCUGGUAUUCCGGGGGGCAUGCCUGUUCGAGCGUCAUUUCACCACUCAAGCCUCGCUUGGUAUUGGGCAACGCGGUCCGCCGCGUGCCUCAAAUCGACCGGCUGGGUCUUCUGUCCCCUAAGCGUUGUGGAAACUAUUCGCUAAAGGGUGUUCGGGAGGCUACGCCGUAAAACAACCCCAUUUCUAAGGUUGACCUCGGAUCAGGUAGGGAUACGCGCUGAAGUUAAGC
RNAcentral lists this unclassified non-coding RNA (298 nucleotides) under plant metagenome. RNAcentral's name for it is "partial contains 5.8S ribosomal RNA, internal transcribed spacer 2, and large subunit ribosomal RNA". The stretch from base 1 to 105 matches the Rfam family "5.8S ribosomal RNA", at positions 50 to 154 of the family's 154-position model. The record is from RNAcentral.